This 253-nucleotide ribosomal RNA is filed under the name uncultured bacterium. RNAcentral's name for it is "partial 16S ribosomal RNA". It matches the Rfam family "Bacterial small subunit ribosomal RNA", at positions 524 to 776 of the family's 1533-position model. The record is from RNAcentral.
UACGUAGGGGGCAAGCGUUGUCCGGAAUCAUUGGGCGUAAAGCGCGUGUAGGCGGCUCGAUAAGUCUGCUGUGAAAGUCCAAGGCUCAACCUUGGGAUGCCGGUGGAUACUGUCGAGCUCGAGUCCGGAAGAGGAGUGUGGAAUUCCUGGUGUAGCGGUGAAAUGCGCAGAUAUCAGGAGGAACUCCAAUGGCGAAGGCAGCACUCUGGGACGUGACUGACGCUGAGACGCGAAAGCGUGGGGAGCAAACAGG